CGGCGGACGGGUGAGUAACACGUGGAUAACCUACCUAUAAGACUGGGAUAACUUCGGGAAACCGGAGCUAAUACCGGAUAAUAUAUUGAACCGCAUGGUUCAAUAGUGAAAGACGGUUUUGCUGUCACUUAUAGAUGGAUCCGCGCCGCAUUAGCUAGUUGGUAAGGUAACGGCUUACCAAGGCAACGAUGCGUAGCCGACCUGAGAGGGUGAUCGGCCACACUGGAACUGAGACACGGUCCGGACUCCUACGGGAGGCAGCAGGC
This 266-nucleotide ribosomal RNA is filed under the name uncultured Staphylococcus sp. RNAcentral describes it as "partial 16S ribosomal RNA". It matches the Rfam family "Bacterial small subunit ribosomal RNA", at positions 96 to 354 of the family's 1533-position model. The record is from RNAcentral. Lineage: Bacteria; Bacillati; Bacillota; Bacilli; Caryophanales; Staphylococcaceae.